ACUAAGCGUGAACUAAAAAUUAAAAUACUUGAGCAGCAUUCGAAUGUGCUGCAAAGAAACAAGUUAUUAUCAAAUUAACAAUUAAUGUAAUAUAUCAAAAAACGGUGGCAGUGGCAGAUGGCAGAUGACAAAAUGCGGCUGAAUUCGUAUCGCGAAACUGGUCACAUUGCACGACGACAAAUGGACUCAAUUGGAUUGCUACGAUGAUGGAUGAAGAGUACUGGCAGGUACUGCUGCUCGCCAGUAGCAGUGUCUUAAGCAGGUUAAGCGGUACA
Molecule: unclassified non-coding RNA, 275 nt
Filed under: Drosophila virilis
Lineage: Eukaryota; Metazoa; Arthropoda; Insecta; Diptera; Drosophilidae
Description: GJ25947
Source: RNAcentral